RNAcentral lists this long non-coding RNA (558 nucleotides) under Prunus dulcis (almond). RNAcentral describes it as "sRNA ncRNA". Lineage: Eukaryota; Viridiplantae; Streptophyta; Magnoliopsida; Rosales; Rosaceae. The record is from RNAcentral.
UGCAGUUUAACUCUAAAAAUUGUCCUCCUUUUUUUGAUCUAGCCCCUCUCUCCCUGGGAAAGAAACUCUUUCUCGCCCCGCCUAACAUCUCUCAUUCCUUUUCACACCCCUUUAGUGAUGGUGGAUUACUUAUUCCGAUCUACAUCUCCCCAUGCCGCCUCUGCCUUGCCUACAGAUGAUGCCUUGCCCCUCCCCUUUCCUCUCGUCCCUCUCUCCUUUCCUUCCUUUGUUUCCCGUCCUCUCUUUCCCUCCCUCCUUGACUUUUCCUCCUCACCCUUUUCUUUUGUUGUGACUUUGGAAUUUUCUUUUGUUUUGUAGGGAGUGUAUGGUUGGGUGUGGGUGGUUUCAUUGUUCUGCUCCUAUUUUGUCUGGGGAUUGCCUUUGUGUUUCGAUGGCUUGGGUGGUUUCCCCUGUGACCGCCGCAGUUGUUUUAUUGUUUUCAUUAUUGUGUUGCCGGCCGUUUUUUUGCUUUGUUUGAUUGUUUUGCAGAUUUGAGGUUUGAUUCAUGCUGGAAAACUACUUCAGAUUUGUGAUUCACCUUUAUUUGUGAUUUGGUGG